AGUUAUAGAAAAGAUUCUCAACCGAAAAACACCCAAAAAAUAUAGCAAUCUUUAAAAAAAAUUAUAUAAUACAUCUGAAUACAUUAAUUAUAUUAAAUAAAAAAUAUAUUAAUACAUUAAUGAAAUACAACAGGACAGUAAAUACAAUGAAAUACAUGGAAUACAACGAGAUACAUUGAACUACAAUUAAAAAAAGGACAAAAAAAUAUUGAAAUAUAUUAACAGAAAAUUCAAAUUGCUCAGCCCUAAACUUUGUCUUCUUUGUUCAAGGGAUUUCCCCAGAUCAAUUGCGUCUGAUUUUUGCCGGAAAGCACUUUGAAGACGGCGGUACCCUAGCUGAUUACAACAUCUAGAAGGAGACGACUCUUCAUCUCAUGCUCUGUCAUGGUAGUGCUAAGAACAGGAAGAAGAAUCGGAGCCGAAGAGGGUCGACGACGACAAAGGGGUUCGAUACACAUUAAUAUAGCACUUCAUCUUCAAAUAGAAAAUAAUCUCGUUAAUUCCCCCAAUCUGUUGGAACACCAUCAACCCAACAGAUAUCUAAAGAUAGAAAUAAAGAAGAGCAAAAUAAGUAAUUUUAGAAACGGCAAGAGAAACUGGGGCUAAUGGGGGCUUAGGCUUAACAAGCCAAACGGCAGAAAGGGAAGGCAAAGGCCAACUAAUUCAGCCCAAUUUGAUACCCAAAAUGGGCAGUUUGAGGGGUAAUAAUACUAGGAGGCUUGGGCCUGAAGCUGAGCCCAAUAGGAGAGGGGCAAUAAUCGAGGCUUGACAAGGACAAAGCCAUAGCCCAUAGGGCCGCCAAUUCCACAUUUUACAUUCUUGGCACCAAUAAUUCAAUCAGGGCCUGAAUAAGGCCCAAAUAAUCUUAAACAUAUGGCAAGAUGAUAGGCAAAAUUCCGAAUUACAAUACCCAAAUAACCUAUUGUAUACCUUUCUAAGAAAUGUUUUACUGCCGAUAUACAUUUGGGAUUCAAAAUUACUCACUAGUUAUGCAACAGUCAUGUAUACAACUAUCUUAAUCAGUGAUAAAUAGUUUAAAUUUACAGCAAUUAUCAAACAUGUAAUCUUUGCUUGAAUUAUAGCUCUAAAGAUGACAUAAAUUUAAAGCUAAUCAACAAAGGAUUCCACAACUGACUCAAGCAUGCAUCACAGUACACUCCGACCCUCUAAAUGUUUAAACAUUUAAACUCUCUACCCCAAAUCGCAAACCAAUAUAAGAGGCAAAAGACUACACAAUAACUUGAAGAGGAAAUACAAGAACAACAAAAUGGAAAAUACAUAAAAGAAUUGAGAUUAAUGCAUGGACAUGAAAAAAAUCUAAAAGUAAAUGUUAAUAUUCAGCAAAACUCAAACCUCCAACUUGUUUGCAUGUUUCAUAUUUGCAUCUCAGAUAACAUUAGGGCCAAGGAGUACCCGGAUACCAAAGGCAAAACACAGAUGUAAGGACCUUAGCAAAAGCACAGCCGUGAGAAAGGCAGCAAACAAACAACAAUACACAACUUCCUUAGUUCAAAUUAAAACCCAGAAAAAGCACAUACCCAAUGAAAGAUUUUUAAAGUUCUUCCUCAAGAAAAGAGAAUCAGAAAACUUAGUCAAUUUCCAAUGAAACAAUGCAGAAAGCUUUUUUAUAAUCUUUUCAGGGUCUGCGUGUGUGUAAAGAGUGAGAGGAAGGCCUUAUUUAUAUAACAGAAAUCUGUUGUGUGCCUUCCAAGGCAAGGGGAUAGUAUUUUUUUCAAAAUACCCCUCAAAGGACAUCUUGUCUAACAGAAAAUGGACAGGUGUCCUUAAUCUAGAAGCUUCUAGAUGCCUUAUCCGAAAUUCUUACUUUUCUACUUUUCAAUUGACCUCCUAAGUUCUGUUAUGACCCGUUUAGACCCCCUUUUAGUUUCUAUUUGCUCAAUUGAAACCCCUGAAAGUUUUAAACCUUUACAAACUAAACAAACAAUUGUCUAACAGAAACCAUAGGCCAACCGAAUCAAAUGGCCUUAAUUUAUAAAAUAUAAAUUGGUUUAAAAUGAAAUCAUAAACAAACCCAACGCUUGAACAAUCAUAACUGACAUUAGCAAGAACAAUCAAUAAAUGAACCUAUUCGAGAUUUAAGCUUUGAAACAAUCAACACAAUCAUCUUAGCAGGGGAUCAAAGCACUACGAUUCACUAACAUAAAAAUUUCAUUGAAUACAAGUUUAACUAAUUAAAAUAAACCCUAAAUGAAGAACUACUGAUUCUGAUUGCAACAAUACAAUAUUAUUAACCGUAAAUCGAUGACUAACUUUGACGAUCAUUCACAAGAAAACAUAAUCUAACGGCUUGAGAUUAAAACUAACUACUGCUUUUCUUUUUUAGAAAAAAGAAACAAAAACGAACAAAACAAAACCAAAAAAAAUAGAAGAAAAGGAGAAGAAGCUAAAGAAAGAUAGGAAAAUGAGGAAAUAGAAAGGGGGAAGGAAAACAAGUACCUACUGCAACGAACGACCAGUAUACGAUAAACUUUCGCUGGUCUUUGGAUUGUGCAUAAAAUCCAGUGAACUUUAAAAUGGGCCGGAAUUGGUACUAAUCAAUUGUUCUUGAUAAGAACAAUCAACUGGUACAAAUUUCGACCCCAAAUCAAUCAUCAAAUCCUUUUGAACCUAGAAGGGAAGAAAAUUAGGGUUUUUACUUUCUUCUUGGAACCAGAUUCAAAAUUGGGACUAAUGGGUGGGGGUUUUUUGGGAAGGUGAUGGUAGUUCAGGGUUUAAAGAGGUGUGUAGUGUGCGGGCUGUGAUUUUGGGGUGGUUUAGGUGAGUUAAGGUUUUUGGGAUUGAGUCUCAGAUUCAAUAUUCGAAAAGUUUGAAGGUGGAUUUGGGGAAAAGGAUCUAAAGAUAUAGAAAGAGGAAGGCAAAGGGAUUGUGUGGUGUAAUUUUUAGGUAGUUUGGAGACCGGCCGUCGACCGGAGAUGAUGGGAAAUUUUAGGGCGGCGGCUAGUAUUGGCUGUGUUAGAGCGAAUAAGAUGAAGAAUGGGAAGGGUCCAAAUGG
This 3013-nucleotide long non-coding RNA is filed under the name Nicotiana benthamiana. RNAcentral describes it as "long non-coding RNA (NBEN_LNC003081)". Lineage: Eukaryota; Viridiplantae; Streptophyta; Magnoliopsida; Solanales; Solanaceae. The record is from RNAcentral.